GAAAUACUCCAUCCGUCCGAAAAUACUUGUCGUGGAAAUGGAUACAAAUGGAUAUAUCUAGAACUAAAUACAUCUAAAUACAUUCAUUUCUGAACAAGUAUUUCCGGACGAAGGGAGUACACU
Triticum urartu is the source of this 123-nucleotide non-coding RNA. NCBI's taxonomy places the organism in Eukaryota, Viridiplantae, Streptophyta, Magnoliopsida, Poales, Poaceae. The record is from Rfam.